GAGGGAAUGCAUUUGGUUCCAACAAUUAUCCUCGGAAGAAAGGAAGGGGUUUUUUGAUGUUUAUGUGGGAUGCAUGCAAGGAUCUGACAUUGGUUAUUUUAAUGAUAGCUGCUGCGGCUUCAUUGGCAUUGGG
Molecule: non-coding RNA, 133 nt
Organism: Cajanus cajan (pigeon pea)
Lineage: Eukaryota; Viridiplantae; Streptophyta; Magnoliopsida; Fabales; Fabaceae
Source: RefSeq, a predicted model, not a curated record